Molecule: ribosomal RNA, 301 nt
Filed under: uncultured bacterium
Lineage: Bacteria
Description: partial 16S ribosomal RNA
Rfam family: Bacterial small subunit ribosomal RNA
Source: RNAcentral
CAGCAGCCGCGGGAAAACGGAGGGUGCAAGCGUUAAUCGGAAUUACUGGGCGUAAAGCGUGCGUAGGCGGUUCGUUAAGUCUGUUGUGAAAGCCCCGGGCUCAACCUGGGAAUGGCAAUGGAUACUGGCGAGCUAGAGUGUGUCAGAGGAUGGUGGAAUUCCCGGUGUAGCGGUGAAAUGCGUAGAGAUCGGGAGGAACACCAGUGGCGAAGGCGGCGAUCUGGGAAGAUACUGACGCUGAGGUGCGAAAGCGUGGGGAGCAAACAGGAUUAGAUACCCGCGUAGUCCCUGUCUCUUAUAC